UGCGUAGGUGGCGCCGUAAGUGGGGUGUGAAAUUUCGGAGCUUAACUCCGAAACUGCAUUCCAUACUGCGGUGCUUGAGGACUGGAGAGGAGACUGGAAUUCAUGGUGUAGCAGUGAAAUGCGUAGAGAUCAUGAGGAAGACCAGUGGCGAAGGCGGGUCUCUGGACAGUUCCUGACACUGAGGACAAGGCUAGGGGAGCGAACG
This 205-nucleotide ribosomal RNA is filed under the name uncultured bacterium. Its description in RNAcentral is "partial 16S ribosomal RNA". It matches the Rfam family "Bacterial small subunit ribosomal RNA", at positions 568 to 774 of the family's 1533-position model. The record is from RNAcentral.